This 253-nucleotide ribosomal RNA is filed under the name uncultured bacterium. RNAcentral describes it as "partial 16S ribosomal RNA". It matches the Rfam family "Bacterial small subunit ribosomal RNA", at positions 524 to 776 of the family's 1533-position model. The record is from RNAcentral.
UACGUAGGGUGCAAGCGUUGUCCGGAAUUAUUGGGCGUAAAGAGCUCGUAGGCGGUUCGUCGCGUCGGCUGUGAAAACCCGGAGCUCAACUCCGGGCCUGCAGUCGAUACGGGCGGACUCGAGUUCGGCAGGGGAGACUGGAAUUCCUGGUGUAGCGGUGGAAUGCGCAGAUAUCAGGAGGAACACCGGUGGCGAAGGCGGGUCUCUGGGCAGUAACUGACGCUGAGGAGCGAAAGCGUGGGGAGCGAACAGG